Molecule: transfer RNA, 89 nt
Filed under: Clostridium sp. CAG:1219
Lineage: Bacteria; Bacillati; Bacillota; Clostridia; Eubacteriales; Clostridiaceae
Also listed under: 1 other name
Description: transfer RNA-Leu(TAA)
Rfam family: tRNA
About the family: Transfer RNA (tRNA) molecules are approximately 80 nucleotides in length. Their secondary structure includes four short double-helical elements and three loops (D, anti-codon, and T loops). Further hydrogen bonds mediate the characteristic L-shaped molecular structure. tRNAs have two regions of fundamental functional importance: the anti-codon, which is responsible for specific mRNA codon recognition, and the 3' end, to which the tRNAs corresponding amino acid is attached (by aminoacyl-tRNA synthetases). tRNAs cope with the degeneracy of the genetic code in two manners: having more than one tRNA (with a specific anti-codon) for a particular amino acid; and 'wobble' base-pairing, i.e. permitting non-standard base-pairing at the 3rd anti-codon position.
Source: RNAcentral
GGGAGUGUGGCGGAACUGGCAGACGCACAGGACUUAAAAUCCUGCGACCCUUAAAAGUCGUACCGGUUCGAUUCCGGUCAUUCCCACCA